RNAcentral lists this ribosomal RNA (764 nucleotides) under Listeria monocytogenes. RNAcentral's name for it is "bacterial SSU rRNA". It matches the Rfam family "Bacterial small subunit ribosomal RNA", at positions 777 to 1533 of the family's 1533-position model. Lineage: Bacteria; Bacillati; Bacillota; Bacilli; Caryophanales; Listeriaceae. The record is from RNAcentral.
AUUAGAUACCCUGGUAGUCCACGCCGUAAACGAUGAGUGCUAAGUGUUAGGGGGUUUCCGCCCCUUAGUGCUGCAGCUAACGCAUUAAGCACUCCGCCUGGGGAGUACGACCGCAAGGUUGAAACUCAAAGGAAUUGACGGGGGCCCGCACAAGCGGUGGAGCAUGUGGUUUAAUUCGAAGCAACGCGAAGAACCUUACCAGGUCUUGACAUCCUUUGACCACUCUGGAGACAGAGCUUUCCCUUCGGGGACAAAGUGACAGGUGGUGCAUGGUUGUCGUCAGCUCGUGUCGUGAGAUGUUGGGUUAAGUCCCGCAACGAGCGCAACCCUUGAUUUUAGUUGCCAGCAUUUAGUUGGGCACUCUAAAGUGACUGCCGGUGCAAGCCGGAGGAAGGUGGGGAUGACGUCAAAUCAUCAUGCCCCUUAUGACCUGGGCUACACACGUGCUACAAUGGAUAGUACAAAGGGUCGCGAAGCCGCGAGGUGGAGCUAAUCCCAUAAAACUAUUCUCAGUUCGGAUUGUAGGCUGCAACUCGCCUACAUGAAGCCGGAAUCGCUAGUAAUCGUGGAUCAGCAUGCCACGGUGAAUACGUUCCCGGGCCUUGUACACACCGCCCGUCACACCACGAGAGUUUGUAACACCCGAAGUCGGUAGGGUAACCUUUAUGGAGCCAGCCGCCGAAGGUGGGACAGAUAAUUGGGGUGAAGUCGUAACAAGGUAGCCGUAUCGGAAGGUGCGGCUGGAUCACCUCCUUUCUAAGGAA